Podarcis lilfordi (Lilford's wall lizard) is the source of this 66-nucleotide non-coding RNA. Lineage: Eukaryota; Metazoa; Chordata; Lepidosauria; Squamata; Lacertidae. The record is from the annotation of a GenBank genome assembly.
GUAACUGAGUUGGUAGAGCAUGAGACUCUUAAUUUCAGGGUUGUGGGUUUGAGCCCCACAUUGGCA